GGGCCCGCACAAGCGGUGGAGCAUGUGGUUUAAUUCGAUGCAACGCGAAGAACCUUACCUGGUCUUGACAUCCUGUGCUAUGCUUAGAGAUAGGCAGUUCUUUUCGGAGACGCAGUGACAGGUGCUGCAUGGCUGUCGUCAGCUCGUGUCGUGAGAUGUUGGGUUAAGUCCCGCAACGAGCGCAACCCUUGUUCUUAGUUGCUAACGGUUCGGCCGAGGACUCUAGGAAGACUGCCAGUGUUAAGCUGGAGGAAGGUGGGGAUGACGUCAAGUCCUCAUGGCCCUUAUGACCAGGGCUACACACGUACUACAAUGCUACGGACAAAGGGCAGCAAACUCGCGAGAGCUAGCAAAUCCCAUAAACCGUGGCUCAGUUCAGAUCGUAGGCUGCAACUCGCCUACGUGAAGGAGGAAUCGCUAG
RNAcentral lists this ribosomal RNA (421 nucleotides) under uncultured bacterium. Its description in RNAcentral is "bacterial SSU rRNA". It matches the Rfam family "Bacterial small subunit ribosomal RNA", at positions 917 to 1338 of the family's 1533-position model. The record is from RNAcentral.